CUCAACGAAAAGAAGUAAAUGAAGGACGAGCAAUUAAAGAAAUGAGAGAAGACUGGCCAUGGUGGUUUAUGGAAACUGGAAUGACCACACACUUUCAGGAACUGACAGGAAUACACCUGAAAGAAGAUUUUCUGAAGAAUGUUGACCAGAAGGGGAAAAGGCUCCUAAACUAUAUGAAAACAAUAGCCGCCAACAAGAACAAAAAGCUGUGCCAAGCCACGGCCAAGCUUGAAUUCAUCAGGGGAGAACACACAGGGUCUUCUGCAGAUGUCAUCGAGAUGGUCUUGCUUCUCCUGGCCUACUUUGAUGAGAAGGAGGAGGUCAUGUUUUGCUACGUAGAUGAAACCUGUCUGGCCGAAGACGUGGAAUUCGCAGAAGUUGCCUUAACUCCCACGAUAGUUGUAUGUGGACAGUCCAGUUUUUCUGCCAGAAGAAUGAUGCUUAGUAUUGACCAAGUUAUUGUAAAUGACCAAAUGACAACCUUCAUCCAGUCAUUAUGCAUGAUGUUUGGAAGUUAUUACUCCUAUAACAUUCAUUACCCAUCAAAGCUCGCAUCCACCCUGGAGUUUCUUCAGAGAUGUUUCUUCUCCAUUAACCCUGAUAAGGGAUCAAAAGUGGAGAAGACCAGUACAGCCCACAUGCAGGUCAACCCUCGCGUACUCACUCUGAUCCAAGACCUGGCAGACUACGAGUGGCGGGACGUUUAAUAAUAUGUUUCUUCUCCAUUAACCCUGUUAAGGGAUCAAAAGUGGAGAAGACCAGUACAGCCCACAUGCAGGUCAACCCUCGCGUACUCACUCUGAUCCCAGACCUGGCAGACUACGAGUGGCGGGACGUUUAACAAUGUGAGGGCUACGAUGAUGAUGAGUCCAGGGAGAUCAGGCACCAUCUACCCCCAACCCUUCCUCAAGAAGCUCCCAUCCAAAUAAUGUUUGUUUAAACAUUUACUAUGUUAAUGUUAUUUUCAAGGGGUGCUAUAUUGUUAACCUAACUUGCUGUUCUUAAUAAUACUUGAUGUAUCUCAAACACCAAAAGCAAAAGUUUGUAAAGGCUCAACAUAUAAGCCAUUGCUUCAAAUUUUCUAAACUACUUAUUUUAAAGGGUUAGUUCACCCAAAAAUGAAAAUUCUGUCAGUAAUUACUCACCCUCAUGUUGUUCCAACCAUGCAAGUCUUUUGUU
RNA transcript from Xyrauchen texanus (razorback sucker), 1179 nucleotides. RefSeq lists it as uncharacterized. The transcript has 5 exons. Lineage: Eukaryota; Metazoa; Chordata; Actinopteri; Cypriniformes; Catostomidae. The record is from RefSeq and is a predicted model, not a curated record.